Molecule: ribosomal RNA, 238 nt
Filed under: uncultured bacterium
Lineage: Bacteria
Description: partial 16S ribosomal RNA
Rfam family: Bacterial small subunit ribosomal RNA
Source: RNAcentral
CCUACGGGAGGCAGCAGUGGGGGAUAUUGCACAAUGGGGGGAACCCUGAUGCAGCGACGCCGCGUGGGUGAAGAAGCGCCCCGGCGCGUAAAGCCCUGUCAGCAGGGAAGAAGAGGGACGGUACCUGACCAAGAAGCCCCGGCUAACUACGUGCCAGCAGCCGCGGUAAUACGUAGGGGGCAAGCGUUAUCCGGAUUUACUGGGUUUAAAGGGGGCGCAGACGGCGAGGCAAGCCAGG